Molecule: long non-coding RNA, 439 nt
Organism: Gossypium raimondii (Peruvian cotton)
Lineage: Eukaryota; Viridiplantae; Streptophyta; Magnoliopsida; Malvales; Malvaceae
Exons: 2
Source: RefSeq, a predicted model, not a curated record
GUAAAUUAGAAGCCGUACAACAGACAAGGCCUGUCCAGUUGUUACUAAACUUACCAUGUUUGUACCAGAUCAUUAGUAGAAGAACAAUGAGAGUAGAAGCCUUGGAUCUUAUAAUAUGAAAAAAAGAAAGUAUAAUCUGAGCAGGCGAGCCACAAAGGCUACAAGGCAUGCAGCGGCAAUGCUUGAGACGCGGAAUUGGAUCGAAAUAAUUACGAGCCAAAUGAUGAUCACAUAUGAGGUCCCACGGUCAAACGGCUGCCACCGGUAACACCUACACCUUGACGCGGAUCAUCCUCUCUUUUGCUAGUCAAUAAACAGAAUGGGUUCCAACUUUUCUUUUCUCUGCCUUGUAAUAUAUGGCAUGCUUCAUUUAUAGAUUGUAGUGAACCAAAUCAUGGUGCUAAUUCCAUAUAACAUCAUCUUUCAUUUCCAUUUACAA